ACGAACGCUGGCGGCAUGCCUAACACAUGCAAGUCGAACGAGACCUUCGGGUCUAGUGGCGCACGGGUGCGUCACGCGUGGGAAUCUACCCUCAGGUUCGGAAUAACUCAGAGAAAUUUGAGCUAAUACCGGAUGAUGACGUAAGUCCAAAGAUUUAUCGCCUGAGGAUGAGCCCGCGUAGGAUUAGGUAGUUGGUGAGGUAAAGGCUCACCAAGCCGACGAUCCUUAGCUGGUCUGAGAGGAUGAUCAGCCACACUGGGACUGAGACACGGCCCAGACUCCUACGGGAGGCAGCAGUGGGGAAUAUUGGACAAUGGGCGAAAGCCUGAUCCAGCAAUGCCGCGUGAGUGAUGAAGGCCUUAGGGUUGUAAAGCUCUUUUACCCGGGAUGAUAAUGACAGUACCGGGAGAAUAAGCUCCGGCUAACUCCGUG
This 432-nucleotide ribosomal RNA is filed under the name uncultured bacterium. RNAcentral's name for it is "partial 16S ribosomal RNA". It matches the Rfam family "Bacterial small subunit ribosomal RNA", at positions 29 to 507 of the family's 1533-position model. The record is from RNAcentral.